GACGAACGCUGGCGGCGUGCUUAACACAUGCAAGUCGAACGGAAAGGCCCUGCUUUUGUGGGGUGCUCGAGUGGCGAACGGGUGAGUAACACGUGAGUAACCUGCCCUUGACUUUGGGAUAACUUCAGGAAACUGGGGCUAAUACCGGAUAGGAGCUCCUGCUGCAUGGUGGGGGUUGGAAAGUUUCGGCGGUUGGGGAUGGACUCGCGGCUUAUCAGCUUGUUGGUGGGGUAGUGGCUUACCAAGGCUUUGACGGGUAGCCGGCCUGAGAGGGUGACCGGCCACAUUGGGACUGAGAUACGGCCCAGACUCCUACGGGAGGCAGCAGUGGGGAAUAUUGCACAAUGGACGGAAGCCUGAUGCAGCAACGCCGCGUGCGGGAUGACGGCUUUCGGGUUGUAAACCGCUUUCGCCUGUGACGAAGCGUGAGUGACGGUAAUGGGUAAAGAAGCACCGGCUAACUACGUG
This 468-nucleotide ribosomal RNA is filed under the name uncultured bacterium. RNAcentral describes it as "partial 16S ribosomal RNA". It matches the Rfam family "Bacterial small subunit ribosomal RNA", at positions 28 to 507 of the family's 1533-position model. The record is from RNAcentral.